CUCCAGGCAAAAAGAUGAUAGCCAGAGAGGUUGGAGGGCGGCCUCGGGUGGGGUUGCUUCUCGCGUGCCCCUAGUGGUGGGAGGGUUAGGUGCCAGGCUCCACCUUGAUCUUCCCAAGUUUCUCAAGGCCACUGGCGCGGGGGUCACUGCCCCCAAGGAGGGACCUAAAGGGGGUGGAGGAGAGGCCGGAGGAGCGAAUGCGACAAGCUGGGAAAAUGCCCUCCCAGCUUUGGUUCUAGAAUCCCUACUCUCCCUACGGUGCUGCUGAACCUCCGCAGACGCCAAGAGAGAGAACUGACACAGUUCUUCAAGGCCGCGGGGAAUGGUGGUGUGUUGGGUUUGGGAGAAGUGGGCUCGUUUCUCAGCCUAACCUGAGCUUCCGCUGUCCCCAGGGGGAUGGCAUCCACUGCUACCAGGAAUGUGGAGGAAAAGGGCAGCGGGCAGUCCCAAGCCACAGACUCUGCAGCCUGCUUGGGUGGAGGUCCGAAGGUUUCCCAUUCUGAGGAAUUCCUGACACAGAUCAGCGCAGAACUCACUGACGAGGCCUUGUUUGUCGCUGCCUACCACAUGAAUCCUGUGCCCAUCAAAAAAAACAGACACAAGACCAAGGGAUUCAGAUAUCCAAACACGGUGAACCCCACGCCAGGACCCUUCUGUCCAGAGACCCUCCGAUACCACUAGUUCCAGUCCCUGCUUCCAGGAGCUCUGCCUAGCAACUUGACAUCUGGAGGAUGAUCCCAACUCUGGUGCUGCUCUUGGCCUCUCGUGCCCUCUCCCCACUCUGUUCCUCUAGAACAUGCACCAAAGCUCCUCUUUCACAACUCAUUCAACAGUUUGGUUUUGGGGUGAUUCCUGGUCAUGAGCAACAUCACCCCUGAAGCCUCCAAAGGGUUCUGGAACCAUCACACACCUCUCCACCCUCAGCUAGCAAGGACACCACCAGAAAUCAAAAACUUUAAUAAAGUGACAGAGAUCCUUCCCUC
Molecule: long non-coding RNA, 983 nt
Organism: Aethalodelphis obliquidens (Pacific white-sided dolphin)
Lineage: Eukaryota; Metazoa; Chordata; Mammalia; Artiodactyla; Delphinidae
Exons: 4
Source: RefSeq, a predicted model, not a curated record